RNAcentral lists this transfer RNA (66 nucleotides) under Venustaconcha ellipsiformis. RNAcentral's name for it is "tRNA-Leu". Lineage: Eukaryota; Metazoa; Mollusca; Bivalvia; Unionida; Unionidae. The record is from RNAcentral.
AGGGGAAUGGCAGAAAAGUGCCUUAGUCCUAAGAUCUAACAAUGAGGCAAUCUGCCUCUUCCCCCA